This 254-nucleotide ribosomal RNA is filed under the name uncultured bacterium. RNAcentral describes it as "partial 16S ribosomal RNA". It matches the Rfam family "Bacterial small subunit ribosomal RNA", at positions 524 to 776 of the family's 1533-position model. The record is from RNAcentral.
UACGUAGGGGGGCUAGCGUUGUCCGGAAUCAUUGGGCGUAAAGCGCGCGUAGGCGGCCCGAUAAGUCUGCUGUGAAAGUCCAGGGCUCAACCCUGGAAUGCCGGUGGAUACUGUCGGGCUAGAGUUCGGAAGAGGCAAGUGGAAUUCCUGGUGUAGCGGUGGAAUGCGCAGAUAUCAGGAGGAACACCGGUGGCGAAGGCGGUUCUCUGGGCAUGUCCUGACGCUGAGGAGCGAAAGCGUGGGGAGCGAACAGG